Molecule: transfer RNA, 70 nt
Filed under: Dipodomys ordii (Ord's kangaroo rat)
Lineage: Eukaryota; Metazoa; Chordata; Mammalia; Rodentia; Heteromyidae
Rfam family: tRNA
About the family: Transfer RNA (tRNA) molecules are approximately 80 nucleotides in length. Their secondary structure includes four short double-helical elements and three loops (D, anti-codon, and T loops).
Source: Rfam by way of RNAcentral
GGGAAUGUGGCUUAGUGGUAGAGUGCUUGCCUCACAUGCAUGAGGCUCUGGGUUCGAUUCCUCACUACCA